Long non-coding RNA from Bubalus bubalis (water buffalo), 641 nucleotides. RefSeq lists it as uncharacterized. The transcript has 3 exons. The record is from RefSeq and is a predicted model, not a curated record. Lineage: Eukaryota; Metazoa; Chordata; Mammalia; Artiodactyla; Bovidae.
UUGCCUUCUCCGGAGGAGAGACCUAGAGUUUACUAAAAAAACAGGUACAAAUGUAGGUCUCCCCUAAAAAUGAAGUGGUAUAAAGCCGACUUUCGGGGGGUACUUGUAAUGUGGUGAACCCAGCCUUCUGCUGGAUCCAGUCUGAGAACAGAAGGAAGAGAAGGGUAGGGAAAGGAGCUUAGAGCAGAGGGCGGAGACAGAGUAAAAUAAAGCAGUGCAAAAGAAAAGAAAAGAAGGGAAACACAGCAGGUAGAAAGGUACAGAAGGGUGAUUGGCCCAAAAUGAAGAUGGUAAUUGACCCAGGCUGUCAGCCAGUGGCAGGCGGUGAGAGCGGAGGAAGACGUGCCAGAACUGAGCAGAGGAAAACUCGCAUUUCUACACAUCCUGACCUGUGAGGAGGUGAUGCUGUUACAGCACGAAAGGGCUAUCUUUGCUACUGUACAUGUUUCAGGAUUUCUGAGUAUGAAGUUCACCAGAAGGUAGACAGGCCAGCAGGAGAAAAGGCAGUUUGCAUAAUGAAAUUCUCAGCAGAAAUUUGAAACCCUAGCCUCAUUUGAUCAUCCUCCACUCAACUUUUAAAUAUCAUCAUCACCACCGUGUACUAAUAAUAGUGUAUAUCUUCAAUAAAAGAAUAAAAUGCA